GAAGCCCCGAGCGUUGUCGGAUUCAUUGGGCGUAAAGGGUGCGUAGGCGGCGCCGGAAAGUCCGGCCGUGAAAGGCAGAGGCUCAACCUCUGGACUGCGUUGGAUACUUCCGUGCUUGAGGACUGGAGGGGAGACUGGAAUUCACGGUGUAGCAGUGAAAUGCGUAGAUAUCGUGAGGAAGACCGGUGGCGAAGGCGAGUCUCUGGACAGAUCCUGACGCUGAGGCACGAAGGCUGGGGGAGCGAACAGGAUUAGAUACCCUGGUAGUCCCAGCAGUAAACGAUGUGAGCUUGAUGUGGGGGGAUUCGACCCCUUCCGUGUCGAAGCUAACGCGAUAAGCUCACCGCCUGAGGAGUACGGCCGCAAGGCUAAAACUCAAAGAAAUUGACGGGGACCCGCACAAGCGGUGGAGUAUGUGGCUUAAUUCGAUGCAACGCGAAGAACCUUACCUGGCCUUGACAUGCAUUGUGUCGUCGGUGAAAGCCGGCUAGUCCUGGAAACAGGACGCUUUGCACAGGUGCUGCAUGGCUGUCGUCAGCUCGUGUCGUGAGAUGUUGGGUUAAGUCCCGCAACGAGCGCAACCCUUGUGGUCGGUUACUAACCGGCUUAGCCGGAGGACUCUGGCCAGACUGCCCUGUCAAACGGGGAGGAAGGUGGGGACGACGUCAAGUCAGUAUGGCCCUUAUGGCCAGGGCUGCACACGUACUACAAUGCCCGGUACAAUGUGAACCGAAACCGCGAGGUGGAGGAAAUCGCUCUUGAAAACCGGGCCCAGUUCGGAUUGGAGUCUGCAACUCGACUCCAUGAAGUCGGAAUCGCUAGUAAUGGCGUAUCAGCAACGACGCCGUGAAUACGUUCCCGGGUCUUGUACACACCGCCCGUCACAUCAUGGAAGUCUCCUGUACCCGAAGCACGUGCGCCAACCUUUUAGGAGGCAGCGUUCGAAGGUAUGGGAGCUAACCUGGGAUGAAGUCG
This 975-nucleotide ribosomal RNA is filed under the name uncultured organism. Its description in RNAcentral is "bacterial SSU rRNA". It matches the Rfam family "Bacterial small subunit ribosomal RNA", at positions 528 to 1488 of the family's 1533-position model. The record is from RNAcentral.